RNAcentral lists this unclassified non-coding RNA (206 nucleotides) under uncultured fungus. Its description in RNAcentral is "sequence contains ITS1". The record is from RNAcentral. Lineage: Eukaryota; Fungi.
UUAACAAAUUUUGCUUUUCGCUCAGACUGCAAACUUCAGACAGCGUUCAAUGGUGUCUUCGGCGGGCGCGGGCCCGGGGGCGGAUGCCCCCCGGCGGCCGUGAGGCGGGCCCGCCGAAGCAACAAGGUACGAUAAACACGGGUGGGAGGUUGGACCCAGAGGGCCCUCACUCGGUAAUGAUCCUUCCGCAGGUUCACCUACGGAAA